UUACAGAUAAGACACCUGAAAAAUCUGCAGCCAAUGCUCCUCGUGCUAUGAGAGACACUUACAUCAAGUGAUUCAAUGACCGUACGACUGUGCGUUGUGUGAUGAGGACAGCUAUAAAUGACGAACUUAGCCGUAAGUUCGAGGAUGCAUAGUCAGAGGAGAUCAUUCAAAUAUUGAAUGAGUUCUUUGACACCCCAGA
RNAcentral lists this long non-coding RNA (199 nucleotides) under Elaeis guineensis (African oil palm). RNAcentral's name for it is "long non-coding RNA (EGUI_LNC002642)". Lineage: Eukaryota; Viridiplantae; Streptophyta; Magnoliopsida; Arecales; Arecaceae. The record is from RNAcentral.